AGUGAACGCUGGCGGUAGGCCUAACACAUGCAAGUCGAACGGCAGCACAGUAAGAGCUUGCUCUUACGGGUGGCGAGUGGCGGACGGGUGAGGAAUACAUCGGAAUCUACUUUUUCGUGGGGGAUAACGUAGGGAAACUUACGCUAAUACCGCAUACGACCUACGGGUGAAAGCAGGGGAUCUUCGGACCUUGCGCGAUUGAAUGAGCCGAUGUCGGAUUAGCUAGUUGGCGGGGUAAAGGCCCACCAAGGCGACGAUCCGUAGCUGGUCUGAGAGGAUGAUCAGCCACACUGGAACUGAGACACGGUCCAGGCUCCGACGGGAGGCAGCAGUGGGGAAUAUAGGACAAUGGGCGCAAGCCUGAUCCAGCCAUACCGCGUGGGUGAAGAAGGCCUUCGGGUUGUAAAGCCCUUUUGUUGGGAAAGAAAAGCAGCAGGUUAAUACCCCGCUGUUCCGACGGUACCCAAAGAAUAAGCACCGGCUAACUUCGU
RNAcentral lists this ribosomal RNA (491 nucleotides) under uncultured bacterium. RNAcentral's name for it is "partial 16S ribosomal RNA". It matches the Rfam family "Bacterial small subunit ribosomal RNA", at positions 29 to 506 of the family's 1533-position model. The record is from RNAcentral.